Equus caballus (horse) is the source of this 2431-nucleotide long non-coding RNA. Lineage: Eukaryota; Metazoa; Chordata; Mammalia; Perissodactyla; Equidae. The record is from Ensembl.
UGACAGCCAGGCUGCUGGAUUCAUUUCAAAGUGACUCAGUGGGGCAGAGAACCAUUAAUAUACUUAUCAUCACAGGUAGACUAUUUUGUUUCUGAGAUUACUCCAAAUUUUACACAGAUGAUAAGUAGGUAGUGAAAAAAAUCCAAUUAGAAAAUGGGUGAAAGACCUGCCGAGACUUUUCACCAAAGAGGAUAUACAGAUGGUGAAUAAGGAGGGAAGAUUCGCCCUGAGCUAACAUCUGUGCCAAUCUUCCUCUAUUUUGUACGCGAGUUGCCGCAUAGCAUGGCUGCCGAUGAGUGGUGCAGGCCCUGACAACCUCCAUUCUACUUUCUGUAUCUAUGAAUUUGAUUACUCGAGAUACUUCAUCUAAGUGGAAUCACACAGUAUUUUUUUUGUGACUGGCUUAUUUUACUUAGCAUAAUGUUCUCAAGGUUCGUCCAUGUUGUAGCAUGUGCCAGAAUUUCUUUUCUUUUUAAGGCUGAAUAAUAUUCCAUUGUAUGUGUGUUUUGUUGAUCCAUUCAUCAGUUGCUUCAUACUUGGGUUGCUUCCACCUUUUGGCUACUGUGAAUAAUGCUGCUUUGAACAUGAGUGUACAAAUAUCUCUUCGAGACCCAGAGGUGGAAUUGCUAGAUCGUAUAAUAAUUCUAUUUUUAAUUAUUUGAGGAACUGCCAUACUGUUUUCCAUAGCAACUUAACCAUUUUACAUUCCCAUCAACAGUUUACAGGGUUUCAAUUUCUCUACACCCUUGCCAACACGUUUUUUUUUAAUAGUAGCCACCGCUGUGAUUUUGAUUUUGAUUUCCUUAAUGAUUAGUGAUGUUGAGCAUCUUUUCAUGUGCUUGUUGGCCAUUUGUAUAUCAUCUUUGGAGAAAUGCCUAUUCAAACCUUUGCCCAUUUUUUUAAUUGAGGUUUCUUUUUUGUUGUUGUUAUUGAGUUGUAGGAGUUCUUUAUAUAUUCUAAAUAUUGACCCUUUAUCAGAUAUAUGAUUUGCCAAUAAUUUCUCUCAUGUUGUAGGGUUUUUUACUCUGUUGAUUGUGUCCUUUGGUGCACAGAAGUUUUUAAUUUUGAUGUAGUACAAUUUACCUAGUUUUACUUUUGUUACCUGUGCUUUUAGUGUCAUAUCCAAGAAAUAAUUGCCAAAUCCAAUGUCAUGAAGCUUUUGUCCUAUGAUUUCUUCUAAGAGUUUUAUCUCUUAUGUUUAGGGCUUUGAUUUGUUUUGAGUUAAUUUUUGUUUAUGGUGUAAUGUAACGGUCCAACUUCCUUCUUUUGUAUAUGGAUAUCCAAUUUUCCCAAUACCAUUUGUUGAACUUCCCAUUAUUUCUUAAAUGGCAUUAUUUGACUCUGUAACCUACAAGACAUUAAAAUACAAAAAGCACUUAAGGUGCAUUAAAAUCUAUGAACCAGUAAGAAUCAUGGUGAUGCAACUGUAAGCCAAAUGAAUUUCUUCUGAGGAGAAAAGGCUGUGGCCAGCCUGUGAGGCAAAAGUACUAAGCAGGAAAUGAAACUAUAAAAUAAAAGGUCAGUCUUUACCUAAAAGCAGCUUAGAGAGUAUUUCCAGUGACACAGCAGCCUCUCAAUACACCAUAUAUCAUCUCUAUACAUUAAAGGUACUAUAUAUUGUCCAAGAAAGAUUAACCUAACAACCAAAUACAAACAAGAAAAGAUGCAUCUUAAUUAUCUAAUUACCGUUCAGGAUCCCAGUGAUUUUGGAACCUAGUGAAACAUCUCAGAUUAAUGUUGCUAUAAGUUGGUUUUGGUUAUAUUACUAGGUGCUUCAUUCCCAUUGAGUCAUUAUAAUCUGUUAAUUAAAAGGAUAUCUACUUACAGCUUCUUUUCAAAGUCUUAGUGAACUUUUGUUCCAGGACUGUCUCUAGGAUUAAGAUGCUUUCUGCUUUUAGUUUCAUUUGUUUCCACAACAUUAACUGUACAUAUAGCAUAACCGAUGUCUCUAAUAGAAAAAGUUAAAUUCUGUUUAGAAUAGUGUUUAAUAAAAUUGAAUAUACGUAUAAAGUUUUUAGAGAUGUUUAUUUUGAAAUUUUACAAUAAAAAUUCUGCUACUCAAAAGAUUAAGCUUCAGUUUUCUAGACAUUUUAUAGUUCCUGAAAACAGCUGGAUAAAAGAGAUUUUAGAAUGAAUCAGAGCCUGGUACAAACCGACAUCAUGACUCAGAAUACAAGUGAACAGAAAUCUAUGCGUCUACUUAGCAGACUAGAAAGUUACUAGCUGGUAAAAUAAGCUAAAACUCCAUGAAAUUAAAAUGAAUGCUUUCUGCAGUCACAAUAAAGUUCUGGUAACAUUUUUUAGGUUCUUCUAACAUAGACACAUGCUCAAUAGCACAAACAAAUUUCAAUCAAAUAAGAAGAGCUUAAGUGUAGAAAAUAUACAAUCAACCCAGUUUACUCCUUCCUGUACCACAGGGCAUAGCUACAUG